AACGAACGCUGGCGGCAUGCCUAACACAUGCAAGUCGAACGAAGUCUUCGGACUUAGUGGCGCACGGGUGCGUAACGCGUGGGAAUCUGCCCUUGGGUGCGGAAUAACUUCUCGAAAGGGAUGCUAAUACCGCAUAAUGUCGUAAGACCAAAGAUUUAUCGCCCAAGGAUGAGCCCGCGUAAGAUUAGCUAGUUGGUGGGGUAAAAGCCUACCAAGGCGACGAUCUUUAGCUGGUCUGAGAGGAUGAUCAGCCACACUGGAACUGAGACACGGUCCAGACUCCUACGGGAGGCAGCAGUGGGGAAUUUUGGACAAUGGGCGAAAGCCUGAUCCAGCCAUUCCGCGUGAGUGAAGAAGGCCUCGGUUGUAAG
Molecule: ribosomal RNA, 371 nt
Filed under: uncultured bacterium
Lineage: Bacteria
Description: bacterial SSU rRNA
Rfam family: Bacterial small subunit ribosomal RNA
Source: RNAcentral